Molecule: long non-coding RNA, 197 nt
Filed under: Fukomys damarensis (Damara mole-rat)
Lineage: Eukaryota; Metazoa; Chordata; Mammalia; Rodentia; Bathyergidae
Description: lncRNA (ENSFDAG00000022063.1)
Source: RNAcentral
UGGAGAUGAGCCUCCAUGAAAGAAGAUGAGCCUUGAGCACAUUCAGGAAAUGCUUUCUAAUCAUUAUGUUCACUGCCGAGUUCCAGAGAUGCCAUCUCACCUGUAUUCUACCAGAAUGGAAAUCCCUGAAACUGUGAAGUGUUCAGCCUGCACAGCUGAGUAUGGCAAUCCUGUACUCCAACUUCCCCAGGUCCCCA